Long non-coding RNA from Vidua chalybeata, 493 nucleotides. RefSeq lists it as uncharacterized. The transcript is spliced from 3 exons. NCBI's taxonomy places the organism in Eukaryota, Metazoa, Chordata, Aves, Passeriformes, Viduidae. The record is from RefSeq and is a predicted model, not a curated record.
UCUAUGACCCACAUGGAACACAAAUAGUGGGUAAUAAUCCGUGGGAUUAAUUAGGCUUGGCAUCUUCUCAGUAACAUCUCUCAUCUGGACUCCCAGAACACACCUCCCUUGAAACACACAUCCUUAAAUGAUGACUGCCUCUGUACCUCUUAAAAUAGAAUAACUCCCUGGAAGGUGAUAAAGAUACCUUGGAUUUCCACACAUAUGAAUCUGAAGACUAUUAGAUUAUUUCCUUCCUCUGCUGUAUUUAAACUGGAUGAAGAAGAGUAAAUCGUUUGGUGUCAUGUCAAAUUGGCAAAGGACAUCUGGAGCAACACUACUUCAAGAUAUGAGAGCGAGGGAUAAAGUGUCUGGGUGUUUUCUGGAAGAUAUGUUUGUUCAUAUUAUAAACAAAUAGAGACUUUAUUAAGCUUUUUGUAACUGCUAAAUAUUUUAAAGAUAUAGAGGCCAAAUUGACUUUCAGUGUUUUUCUAUAAUGAAACAUCAGCCAUAA